CAGCAGCCGCGGGAAUACGAAGGGGGCUAGCGUUGUUCGGAAUUACUGGGCGUAAAGCGCACGUAGGCGGAUAUUUAAGUCAGGGGUGAAAUCCCAGAGCUCAACUCUGGAACUGCCUUUGAUACUGGGUAUCUUGAGUAUGGAAGAGGUAAGUGGAAUUCCGAGUGUAGAGGUGAAAUUCGUAGAUAUUCGGAGGAACACCAGUGGCGAAGGCGGCUUACUGGUCCAUUACUGACGCUGAGGUGCGAAAGCGUGGGGAGCAAACAGGAUUAGAUACCCCAGUAGUCCCUGUCUCUUAUAC
RNAcentral lists this ribosomal RNA (301 nucleotides) under uncultured bacterium. RNAcentral describes it as "partial 16S ribosomal RNA". It matches the Rfam family "Bacterial small subunit ribosomal RNA", at positions 509 to 807 of the family's 1533-position model. The record is from RNAcentral.